AAAUAUUCCUCUCGUUAUACAGGUGGGCGCCUAUUUAAACUAAGACUGGAAAGUAUUCCUCUCGUUAUACAGAUGGGCGCCUAUUUAAACUAAGACUGAAAAGUAUUCCUCUCGUUAUACAGGUGGGCGCCUAUUUAAACUAAGACUGAAAAUAUUCCUCUCGUUAUACAGGUGGACGCCUAUUCAAACUAAGACUGAAAAGUAUUCCUCUCGUUAUACAGGUGGGCGCCUAUUUAAAAUAAGACUGAAAAGUAUUCCUCUCAUUAUACAGGUGGGCGCCUAUUUAAACUAAGACUGAAAAUUAUUCCUCUCAUUAUACAGGUGGGCGCCUAUUUAAACUAAGACUGAAAAGUAUUCCUCUCGUUAUACAGGUGGG
Molecule: long non-coding RNA, 376 nt
Filed under: Nicotiana tabacum (common tobacco)
Lineage: Eukaryota; Viridiplantae; Streptophyta; Magnoliopsida; Solanales; Solanaceae
Description: long non-coding RNA (NTAB_LNC015090)
Source: RNAcentral